GGUCCUGGCCCAGGUUGGGCAGAGAAGCUGUGGCUGCCCCUGGAUCCCUGGAAGUGUCCAAGGCCAGGUUGGAGCAGCCUGGGCUAGUGGAAGGUGUCCCUGCCCAUGGCAGGGGUUUGGAGCAAGCUGAUCCUUCAUCUCCCUUCCAACCCAUUCCAUGAUUCUGUGGUCUCAGCCCAUGAGUUUUCCCACUUUUCCCCCUCUGAUUCCCUCUCAUCCCAGCCCGGGCCGUGAGGGCUCUGUGGGGCUCAGCUGCCACCACAGCCUGGCUCAAUCAGCUGCAAAACACAGGGCAGUAAAACACUGGUAAAAUUGUAAAGACAGUGAAAUACUGGGCAGCACUGGAGAUUGUGGGCUCCUCACUUUGAGGUGAUCCAUAUGCAAAUCCCUCUGCAGAAUUAGCCUUGGGCAAGGACACCUCCUCCCACUGCCCCUCUGUCAGAGGGAAAAUGGUCUCAAUAUUUUGCUUCCUGCUGCUUUGGCCAAUCUGCUUUUAUAAUUUUUUUUAAAAUCUGGAACAUCCACCUAUUAUUUGACUUGCAAAAAAAUUAAUUCCCUCUUUUCUGUUAAACUUUUCCCAUGCAUUAUGCAGCAUUUUUCCCCCUGUUUUUCCUCUGAAGUAGCACAGGAGCUCCCAGGUACUCAGGCUGUACAUGGAAGGAAUAAUAAUAAUAAUUACUGGUUGAUUUGGGUGAGCUUGUCCUAAUUUUGCCAUUCCACCUGAAGGCAAAGGCCAAAAAAAAUUAGAUUGGAAACCUUCUGUUCAGAUCACACAAGGCUGGAUCUAAUCAAGGAAAACUCCAGUUUCUGUUUCAGCUGAAAAAUUUAGUCUAUGUGAAGCAUUUACAGGUUAAAAAAUAAAUGUAAAAGCAACAAA
Long non-coding RNA from Myiozetetes cayanensis, 877 nucleotides. RefSeq lists it as uncharacterized. The transcript is spliced from 2 exons. NCBI's taxonomy places the organism in Eukaryota, Metazoa, Chordata, Aves, Passeriformes, Tyrannidae. The record is from RefSeq and is a predicted model, not a curated record.